RNAcentral lists this ribosomal RNA (450 nucleotides) under uncultured bacterium. RNAcentral's name for it is "bacterial SSU rRNA". It matches the Rfam family "Bacterial small subunit ribosomal RNA", at positions 45 to 496 of the family's 1533-position model. The record is from RNAcentral.
GGCCUAACACAUGCAAGUCGAGGGGUAGAGUUCUUCGGAGCUUGAGACCGGCGCACGGGUGCGUAACGCGUAUGCAAUCUACCUUUUACAGAGGGAUAGCCCAGAGAAAUUUGGAUUAAUACCUCAUAGUAUACAGACUCGGCAUCGAGAUUGUAUUAAAGUCACAACGGUAAAAGAUGAGCAUGCGUCCCAUUAGCUAGUUGGUAAGGUAACGGCUUACCAAGGCUACGAUGGGUAGGGGUCCUGAGAGGGAGGUCCCCCACACUGGUACUGAGACACGGACCAGACUCCUACGGGAGGCAGCAGUGAGGAAUAUUGGACAAUGGGCGCAAGCCUGAUCCAGCCAUGCCGCGUGCAGGAUGACGGUCCUAUGGAUUGUAAACUGCUUUUAUACGAGAAGAAACACUGCUUCGUGAAGCAGCUUGACGGUAUCGUAAGAAUAAGGAUCGG